This is a non-coding RNA of Salvelinus sp. IW2-2015, 773 nucleotides long. Lineage: Eukaryota; Metazoa; Chordata; Actinopteri; Salmoniformes; Salmonidae. The record is from RefSeq and is a predicted model, not a curated record.
UCCCCUCCUCUGAUAAAACCAUGUACUCUAAUUGGUUGGUUCGACUUCAUGGGCUAAUAAUGAGAGAGAAUUUUAACUAUAAAUAUUUGAGCAGCAACAGCAGGACAUCACAUCCACUUCAAGAUUCCAAUUCUGAGAACACCUGCAGACUGAGCAGAAAGUCAUCACUGCCAUUGAAGAGAUGAAAAGGAGCGAGGAAACAAGUAUACCUGUAAAGGCAUCGAUUGAGACGAUGUAUAUGGGUGGUGGUAUGGCAUCGAAGGAAAACGGAGUUAGUGGGCACCUUGACUACAAACUGGGGAAAGCUCAAUUAGACCUUGGUGGUGAGUUGAUGGUGGAGGGCAGGUUGCCCAACGCCGGUGUUGCUGCUGGGAUAACUAACGAAGGAGUUAAAGCCAUGGCCACAGCUGAGCUCAUAGGUGCCUCUGUGUCCCACGGGAAGGCGACAGCCACAAUGCGUCUGGCAGCUGAUACAGGCUUUGGAGUUGGCAAGGAUGGGAUCGAGGCACAAUUUCUGGGUACAGGAUUCUCUAUCGGGAAGAAAACAUCCAUUUCUCUGUUUGGUUCCAAGUUUGAAUGGGACUUCAGCAAGUGACACACCACCACUCAGAGCCCAGAGUUCCACUUCUUUGGAGAUGUAUUAAUUUAGUUCUCUUAUAGUCUACAGACAAGGCUUCAGGGUCACAGAUGUGUUUGGUUUCUUUUAAACUUAAUGAAAACAUAUGUAUUGUAGUUAAUCAGUGGACUGUAUUUACAAUAUAUUAUCAACUCUA